Long non-coding RNA from Homo sapiens (human), 1263 nucleotides. RefSeq lists it as uncharacterized. The record is from RefSeq and is a predicted model, not a curated record. The transcript is spliced from 6 exons. NCBI's taxonomy places the organism in Eukaryota, Metazoa, Chordata, Mammalia, Primates, Hominidae.
CAGAGGUACAUCUCCUUGAGACCUCCUCAGACCACCUUGGCCCACCUUGACUUUCUCAGAUUCUAAGUGGCUCAGUGAAAUUAAGGAGAAGAUGGAUUUAUUUAAAAAUAGAGUUAAGAGGAGAUGAUAACAAGAGAAGAAAUGAAAAGGAAGCUGGCAGAACCAAGAAAAGAUGUUAAGGAGAAAAAUAAAACCAUUGCGCAACUGAAGACCGCAUUUCUGGAGGCUAGAAGUCCAAAUUCAACUUUAUUGGGCUGAAAUCAAAGAGUCAGGAGGAUACCUGUGAUGGCAUUUAGGCCCACCUGGGUGAGCCAGGACACUCUCUCCAUCUCAAGAUCCUUACUUGAAUCACAUCUGCAAAGCCCUCUUUCUGCCAGGCAAGAAGCAGGAUUGCAGGCCACCUUUUGCAGGCCCAGCCCAGGUUUGGAACAAGGCUUCCUCUGCAAAAGCUGGAUGCUGUGAGCUCUGUCAGCUGCAAUGCUCUACCCCACACCUGCCUGGGUUUCCGGAGUGCAUACUCUAUUUGGGAGCAAUGCCUGCCUUGAACUCCAACAGUAUUUUGUCAGCAUCUUUCCCCAAAGACUAAACUCUACAGCCUAUAUCAAGUAUCAGCCACUGGAGAAAGCCGAGAAAUGGAGAAAUUGAGAAACUUGGCAACACAUCCAGUAAAGAGCUGAAGCUUUUAUAACAGCACAAUACAGGAACAAAAAGGAUAGCUUUGGGGAAUGCCAGCCUUUCCAAGGUCUUCAGUCAACUGAUGAGACCCACCCACAUUAGGGAGCAUAGUCUGCUGUACUCAGUCUACCAAUUCAGCUAUGAAGCUCCUCCAGAAACUCCCGCACAGCCACAUCCCAAAUAAUGUUUGGCCAAAUGUCUGGGUACCCUGUGGCCCGGUCAAGUGGACACAUGAAAGUCACCAUCACAGUGGGGUCCUCAAGGAAAGGAAUGAAAGAGACAAUCCAGCUUUGCAUUUAGCACUGAUGCAAUGGCCUGUGAAACCAGACGUGACAAACGUGGCAAGUAGAAGUGUCACAGACAUAAAUUUGAGCAUUUCUCAGAUUUUUCUUUGCCUGGAGUUUGAUCUCAAUAGUCAUUCAAUUUGUCCCUUAGGACAAAUUUAUUUUCUCUCUUUCUUCUCUCCUCAUUCUCCUCCAUCACCAUUAUCAUCAUCAUUGUCACUGUCAUAAUCAACAUCCAAAGUGUAUGGAGUGCCUGCACUCACGUGGCUCUGUACCAAGAAGGAAUUUGGAAUUCAUGGAGGAA